This 496-nucleotide ribosomal RNA is filed under the name uncultured bacterium. Its description in RNAcentral is "partial 16S ribosomal RNA". It matches the Rfam family "Bacterial small subunit ribosomal RNA", at positions 29 to 507 of the family's 1533-position model. The record is from RNAcentral.
AUGAACGCUGGCGGCGUGCCUAAUACAUGCACGUCGAGCGAACAGACGAGGAGCUUGCCCCUCUGACGUUAGCGGCGGACGGGUGAGUAACACGUGGAUAACCUACCUAUAAGACUGGGAUAACUUCGGGAAACCGGAGCUAAUACCGGAUAAUAUAUUGAACCGCAUGGUUCAAUAGUGAAAGACGGUUUUGCUGUCACUUAUAGAUGGAUCCGCGCCGCAUUAGCUAGUUGGUAAGGUAACGGCUUACCAAGGCAACGAUGCGUAGCCGACCUGAGAGGGUGAUCGGCCACACUGGAACUGAGACACGGUCCAGACUCCUACGGGAGGCAGCAGUAGGGAAUCUUCCGCAAUGGGCGAAAGCCUGACGGAGCAACGCCGCGUGAGUGAUGAAGGUCUUCGGAUCGUAAAACUCUGUUAUUAGGGAAGAACAAAUGUGUAAGUAACUAUGCACGUCUUGACGGUACCCAAUCAGAAAGCCACGGCUAACUACGUG